This is a long non-coding RNA of Peromyscus eremicus (cactus mouse), 1403 nucleotides long. RefSeq lists it as uncharacterized. The transcript is spliced from 2 exons. The record is from RefSeq and is a predicted model, not a curated record. NCBI's taxonomy places the organism in Eukaryota, Metazoa, Chordata, Mammalia, Rodentia, Cricetidae.
UAUGGUUAAAAGGACAGCUGACCUGCAGAUUUCUCCUCCCACGUCUCAAAGAAAGAGAACCAAGAGGUCAUAGAGUUCGUGUAAACAUGUGUUUAUCUGAUUUGCAACAAGACAUCCACAUGUCCACGGCUCCUCUGGUUCACUAAUUUGGGCAGGAUGGAUAUCAAUUUCUUUCCAAAUGUUCUGAUUUUAGUGACUGAAAUGGUGGUUCCACUCUCCCCCGACCACCCUAAAUCUGGCGCCAGGUAUUGAAACUGAGUCUCUGCCAACACAAGGCCAGGCUUUUUCACGGCCCUAUGCUGCGUUACAGCCAGUGAGUCCUCAGUUUCUCCAGCAGUCCCAGGACGCUGUCUCUCUGAGCACCGCAGCAAGGACUUGACUUGAGGUGAGGGCCUACCACACAGUCAGUGCAACAGACUGCAUGGGAAACCCAGCUGGAAUCCAACAGGGGCUGGGAUGAGUAGCAUAUUCGAAUGUUUCCAGAAUGGGAGAGACUAGUAUUGGAGGGUCACAUGUGUUCGAGCCAUCGUUUAACAUGAACAACAGACAAUUUCCCGAGUUCUUCAGUGAGUCAGUUCACUGAGUGGAAUUGUACCGGGCGUGUUGGCUUCCCUCUUAUCUCCCUGUGUGACGUGUUCUUUGUGAUUCUUCAGGCCCUCCAAGGCCUUGCUACACUUUGGAGCCUUCAAAGCUGUGUGGUUUGUGUAACACGGCAAUGGUAUCAGUGCUGUUAUCAUGACGGGCUUUAGACCCCAUAGGUAUGGAAGGUACCUUGGCCAUUGCCAUGGUGUAUUAUAGUUCACGUGGUUGCUGGGACCCGACAAGUCUCAGCUAGGAUUCUUCCUAUUCACAAAGAAAGCCUCACUUGUCGGGGAAAGAUAAUGAAGGAACACUGCCUCUGCUUCAAGGAGCCAGGAAUCUUCCAGAAGGGUCUGCCUUCUCCUUCGUUCCACUGAUGAGGAAGGCCCAAGUUUAACCCUCCCUCCAAUGGAUAAACACGGGAGAGGCCGAGCUGGCUUCCCGCCGCCUGUGGAGUCUGGCCAGGCCCGGCCUCUUCUCCUCACCUCACCCCACUCUCCUCGGUGUAUCACUUUCUUCCACCCUAUCCUUAGCUCCUGCCACCUAGAAAUUUUUCUUCAGAUGGGAGGACUGGCAAUCAGCCCCCCCUCACUUGUGUGAUCAAAUAUCUCACCCUGAAGACACAUGCUCAGUCUCCCUGGCCUCCGCUCAGGCCUCCCAGUUUCUGGCCAGCCACCGGCCCAGCGCCCACUAGCCUGUCAGGAGAACGGAACAAGACUUUCCCUGUGCACAGAAUUUCUUGGAGGAGAAACAGCAGGUGCCCCCAAGGUUGGCCCUUGGGUCACACACACUGAGAAACUGUCUGUGAAAAAAAAAAGGCAAAA